UACGACCUCCCCCUCACGUCUCCUCCACCUUCCCCACCGCCUGCCGCUCUUCCUCAUUCUCACCUAAUGGGAGCAAGAACAGUGCCCGAAAAAGGGCGCCCAAGGAUGAUGAGAGCAGGAACCUCUGCACGGGAGAUGGAGUCUGCAGCGCGUGCCCCUGCGGCAGCGGACCGUGCACAGGUGCCGUCUUCUUCCCGCAUAUGCGGUCGCCUCGUCAUGCCCCGGCGACUUCCUCCGGCCGCACGGCCGCAUCGGACCCAGCGUCUCCAGGGUGAGAGGAUUCCAGACUUCUGGUGGGGAGGAAGAACGCUGGGCCGCUGAUGGAGCCGCUUCCAAAUCAUGUCAUGAUGCCGAUGAGGCAUGGCAUUGUUUCUUCUGCCGGGUGACGGCAGCAUGACCUGAAGAUACGUAACUCAGGCAAUCUCUAUUGGUCUUGCUGGAUACACUCACGUAAAUAUCAUAUGCUAAUAAGUAUUUUAAUCUGUUAAGCAAUUCUUAUUUGGGUUUCCCUUUACUCUGAUGUGUGCUGAAUGGUAACUACUAAAGCAUGUUGGGUUUUCCCUUUACUCCAGGCUGGCCACUCGGCGGUGAGCGAGCACGCUACCUGUUGUGGUGGCGGGGAAUGAUGAACACUGCCGGCAGUCAUGGGGGCUCACCUUUUCCGUAACCAUCUAGGUUCUCCACUCUCUGAUCUGACUCCUCUCUCCAUCUCUCUGCAGGAACACGGACGGUUUACAGGGGAUCGACCCGGUGAUCAAGAAGGCGGCCAAUAUGAACCUUCUUCAAGUUUGGUGAUUUCCCCACCUAAAAAAUUAGCUUUAUUAAGGGUGUGCCAGCUAAUUUGUACAAAAAUGUACACCUGGGCAAAACACUUGUUAAUUUGUGCCUCAAAACAUAUUGAGAUAUACUAGGAGGUACUGUUGGUUGUAUCGUGGUCUAUAAUAAAUGACGUGAAAUACUAGAGGUACUACUAGAUCAUUGGCUUUAGAUCUGUCAUGGUUUGCUAAAGAAUGCUCUUUUUUGGUAUUGUUUAUUGCUUCAAAAUUUGCAAUCAAUAUCAGUGUUUGUUAAUACUGAGCUGAAGCUUUCUGCUUGCAGAACUUGGAUAGAGGAUAUUAUUCAGAAGUAAGUUUGGCCUAGAAAAGAUCUGGAUAGAUCAAAGAAAUACAUAUGAAGAUGUCGCAGGUUACACAAUUUUCUGGUGCUAUUACUAUAUUUCCUUAAUAGCCUGAUAUUAGUAAGUGGUUAUUUUCCAGCUUGGAUAUUAGUAGCCCGACAAAGAAUAUAUACUGGUUUUUUGUUUUGUGUAUUCAUGCUUAAUAAUAUUUAGUGGCAUGAUUAAUACUAUUUCCUAUCUUUUCAAGUUUUAUGUGUUCAUGCUUAGUGAUAUUCAGUAACAUGAGGCUACAGGUCUGUUAGAUGACAUACUUCGCAAUAGUAGAACAAUCGUUGUGUGCAAUUCAUGGUUAACAAAGGCGCGCCUAGGUGCUAGGCAACAGCGAAUUGCCUACCGCUUUCAUGCGUUGUCAACUUUUUCUUAGAGGAUGGUAGCUGUGGUGCUUCAGUGGUCAAGUAGUAAGGAAAAUAAAUUAGUUGGCAAUUUUCCUGGAUUAUGUCAUACUUUAGUCCAGGAUUCAUGGAUUACAAAUACAAAUAUUUAACCACUGUUGCUUCUCGUUGUAUAAGGUUGUCUUGUUGGCUGAACUAUCAGCUACUACCAUCACAUGCAUAGUGAAGUUACUGCUAGCCAAGUUAGUUAUAGUACAGAUAAUAACUGAAUAGUGAUGUCAUCAAUCUCCCUAGACUGAGCUUUGUUAGCCACUCCCAACUUACUCAUUACAUCCAGCUUAACUCGAUGGGCACAACGGAGGCCGAAGAAAAUCAAAGAUUUUUCCAAGUUGAUUUUCUGACCUAAACAUUGACAAUAGGAGUUUCCUUAAGUGCCUCGACACUUCUCGAUUCACUCCGUGCAAAGAAGAUGCUAUCUUCUUUGAAGAGCAGAUGGGAGAUAGGUGGGUCUGUGCGAACGUUACGAACUCCUUGUGCAAUCCCCAUAGGCUCCUUGAGAAAUAGCAAAUUUGACAGACCUUCAAUACAUAGCAGGAAAAUGGAGGGACUAAUAGUAUCCUGGCCUCGUUGAAUCCCUCGAGAAGGAACAAUUGGUGAGGUGAGUUCUCCAUUCACAACUGGUGAGGUGAGUUCUCCAUUCACCACAAGGGGAGCAUAUGCCUGGGUUGUUAGCACGUAGCAGCCGUCUCAUAUCUAAUACAUGUAUGGGACGUACUGGUGAAAAUACAUGGGACACAAAGGCCAUCAUAGAUUUCUAAGUUCUUUCUUGUUCAUGAUGCUCGCGCUUCUGCUGCUACAUCUGUUCCGAAGAUUACAUUUUCCUCCAACCUACGACUAAUUAUAAAUAUGGCGGCAAGUUGCAGAAUUUCCAAAAACAAUUUUAGUCCACGCCUUGAUUGUAAAUUAUUGAUACCGACUUGUGUUGUUUAUGUUAGGUUCAUAACUCAUGUGUUACAAACCUGCUCUUGGCCAUAGAGUUCAUGCACUUUUUUUCUAGAUUUCUCUCAAUCAAAAUUAAUCACAUUUUCUUAGAUUUCUCUUUUUGUUUCUUGUGUAUAGGUGACAGAUGUAGAAUUCAGUAUGGCCAGAGAGAAGUUCUUGCUAAAAAAAAGGUCUCUACAUGUGGAAGUGUUUACCCCUCUAUGUGUUUGUGUUUGGCUAAAAUGCGUAAUUUUUCUAUGUACAUGUAUGUAUUCCUAUUUUACACAUAGUAAGCUAAAAUUUUGGAGCUAGGCUGCAAUGGUGGAUGCAUUUCAUUGCUUUUACCUAUUUCUUUGACACCACAUUAGAGCAACUUCAUUUCGUUACUAUACAAAUAUUGUAACUUUGAUUUAUGAAAUUUUGGAAGUGGCUGACAUUUCUUA
This is a long non-coding RNA of Lolium rigidum, 2933 nucleotides long. RefSeq lists it as uncharacterized. Lineage: Eukaryota; Viridiplantae; Streptophyta; Magnoliopsida; Poales; Poaceae. The transcript has 2 exons. The record is from RefSeq and is a predicted model, not a curated record.